Molecule: small nucleolar RNA, 97 nt
Organism: Cannabis sativa
Lineage: Eukaryota; Viridiplantae; Streptophyta; Magnoliopsida; Rosales; Cannabaceae
Product: small nucleolar RNA Z103
Exons: 1
Source: RefSeq, a predicted model, not a curated record
AUGGAGGUGAUGACUAUUUCCCCAGAUGAUCGAAGCUGAUUAUACUGAGCGCAUUAUUUAUCUCUUUCGAGAGAUCAAGCCAAUUUGUCUGAUCCAU